CAGCAGCCACGGUAAUACGUAGGUGGCAAGCGUUGUCCGGAAUUAUUGGGCGUAAAGCGCGCGCAGGCGGAUCAGUCAGUCUUUCUUAAAAGUGCGGGGCUCAACCCCGUGAGGGGAGAGAAACUACUCAUCUUGAGUGCAGGAGAGGAAAGCGGAAUUCCUAGUGUAGCGGUGAAAUGCGUAGAUAUUGGGAGGAACACCAGUGGCGAAGGCGGCUUUCUGGACUGCAACUGACGCUGAGGCUCGAAAGCCAGGGGAGCGAACGGGAUUAGAUACCCCUGUAGUCCCUGUCUCUUAUACA
RNAcentral lists this ribosomal RNA (301 nucleotides) under uncultured bacterium. RNAcentral describes it as "partial 16S ribosomal RNA". It matches the Rfam family "Bacterial small subunit ribosomal RNA", at positions 509 to 809 of the family's 1533-position model. The record is from RNAcentral.